GAUGAACGCUGGCGGCGUGCCUAAUACAUGCAAGUCGAGCGAACAGACGAGGAGCUUGCUCCUCUGACGUUAGCGGCGGACGGGUGUGUAACACGUGUAUAACCUACCUAUCUGACUGGGAUAACUUCGGGAAACCGGCGCUUAUCCCGGAUAAUAUAUUGAACCGCAUGGUUCAAUGGUGAAAGACGGUUUUGCUGUCUCUUCUCGAUGGUUCCGCGCCGCAUUAGCUGGUUGGUAAGGUAACGGCUUACCAAGGCGACGCUGCGUAGCCGACCUGAGAGGGUGAUCGGCCACUCUGGAACUGAGACACGGUCCAGACUCCUACGGGAGGCAGCAGUAGGGAAUCUUCCGCAAUGGGCGAAAGCCUGACGGAGCGACGCCGCGUGGGUGAUGAAGGUCUGCGGAUCGUAAAACGCUGUUAUUAGGGAAGAACGAAUGUGUAAGUAACUAUGCGUGUCUUGACGGUACCGAAUCAGAAAGCCACGGCUAACUACGG
This 496-nucleotide ribosomal RNA is filed under the name uncultured bacterium. Its description in RNAcentral is "partial 16S ribosomal RNA". It matches the Rfam family "Bacterial small subunit ribosomal RNA", at positions 28 to 506 of the family's 1533-position model. The record is from RNAcentral.